RNAcentral lists this ribosomal RNA (724 nucleotides) under Enterococcus faecium. Its description in RNAcentral is "bacterial SSU rRNA". It matches the Rfam family "Bacterial small subunit ribosomal RNA", at positions 47 to 742 of the family's 1533-position model. The record is from RNAcentral. Lineage: Bacteria; Bacillati; Bacillota; Bacilli; Lactobacillales; Enterococcaceae.
CCUAAUACAUGCAAGUCGUACGCUUCUUUUUCCACCGGAGCUUGCUCCACCGGAAAAAGAAGAGUGGCGAACGGGUGAGUAACACGUGGGUAACCUGCCCAUCAGAAGGGGAUAACACUUGGAAACAGGUGCUAAUACCGUAUAACAAUCGAAACCGCAUGGUUUUGAUUUGAAAGGCGCUUUCGGGUGUCGCUGAUGGAUGGACCCGCGGUGCAUUAGCUAGUUGGUGAGGUAACGGCUCACCAAGGCCACGAUGCAUAGCCGACCUGAGAGGGUGAUCGGCCACAUUGGGACUGAGACACGGCCCAAACUCCUACGGGAGGCAGCAGUAGGGAAUCUUCGGCAAUGGACGAAAGUCUGACCGAGCAACGCCGCGUGAGUGAAGAAGGUUUUCGGAUCGUAAAACUCUGUUGUUAGAGAAGAACAAGGAUGAGAGUAACUGUUCAUCCCUUGACGGUAUCUAACCAGAAAGCCACGGCUAACUACGUGCCAGCAGCCGCGGUAAUACGUAGGUGGCAAGCGUUGUCCGGAUUUAUUGGGCGUAAAGCGAGCGCAGGCGGUUUCUUAAGUCUGAUGUGAAAGCCCCCGGCUCAACCGGGGAGGGUCAUUGGAAACUGGGAGACUUGAGUGCAGAAGAGGAGAGUGGAAUUCCAUGUGUAGCGGUGAAAUGCGUAGAUAUAUGGAGGAACACCAGUGGCGAAGGCGGCUCUCUGGUCUGUAACUG